This 407-nucleotide ribosomal RNA is filed under the name uncultured bacterium. RNAcentral describes it as "partial 16S ribosomal RNA". It matches the Rfam family "Bacterial small subunit ribosomal RNA", at positions 30 to 526 of the family's 1533-position model. The record is from RNAcentral.
AUUGAACGCUGGCGGCCGGCCUAACACAUGCAAGUCGAGCGGAGCGGCGGACGGGCGAGUAAUGCCUAGGUAUCUGCCUGGUCGUGGGGGAUAACGUCCGGAAACGGGCCCUCAUACCGCCUCCUAUCAGAUGAGCCUAGGUCGGAUUAGCCAUUUGGUGGGGUAACGGCCUACAAAGGCGACGAUCCUUAACUGGUCUGAGAGGAUGAUCAGUCAGGCUGGAACUAGGACACGGUCCAGACUCCUACGGGAGGCAGAAGUGGGGAAUAUUGGACAAGGGACGAAAGCCUGAUCCAGGCAUGCCGCGGGUUUGAAGAAGGUCUUAGGAGUGUAAAGCACUUUAAGUUGGAAGGCGUUACCAAAAGAAUAAGCACAGGCUAACUGCGUGCCAGCAGCCGCGGUAAUUC